UACGUAGGGAGCAAGCGUUGUUCGGCUUUACUGGGCGUAAAGGGCGCGUAGGCGGCAAUUCAAGUCAUCUGUGAAAUCUCCGGGCUUAACUCGGAACUGUCAGAUGAUACUGCUUUGCUAGAGUGCAGAAGGGGCAAUCGGAAUUCUUGGUGUAGCGGUGAAAUGCGUAGAUAUCAAGAGGAACACCUGAGGUGAAGACGGGUUGCUGGGCUGACACUGACGCUGAGGCGCGAAAGCCAGGGGAGCAAACGGG
RNAcentral lists this ribosomal RNA (253 nucleotides) under uncultured bacterium. Its description in RNAcentral is "partial 16S ribosomal RNA". It matches the Rfam family "Bacterial small subunit ribosomal RNA", at positions 524 to 776 of the family's 1533-position model. The record is from RNAcentral.